This 326-nucleotide RNase P RNA is filed under the name Bacillota bacterium. Its description in RNAcentral is "RNase P RNA component class B". It matches the Rfam family "Bacterial RNase P class B". Rfam says of the family: Ribonuclease P (RNase P) is a ubiquitous endoribonuclease, found in archaea, bacteria and eukarya as well as chloroplasts and mitochondria. Its best characterised activity is the generation of mature 5'-ends of tRNAs by cleaving the 5'-leader elements of precursor-tRNAs. Cellular RNase Ps are ribonucleoproteins. The record is from RNAcentral. Lineage: Bacteria; Bacillati; Bacillota.
CGGCCCAGGCGACUGCUGCUUUUUAAGUAGAGGAAAGUCCAUGCUCGCACCAUCUGAGAUGAUGGUAGUGAUUGCGCUAACGGAAAAAAUAACGUUAGGUAUGCAGGAGUGCAUAACGGCGGAACUAGUCUAAAACUAUGUCAUGAUGAUGUUCCUGAAGGUGCCACAGAGACGAGCUUGAUAGAAAUGUCAAGGUGGAACGAUGGUAAACCCCACAAGCGAGAAACCCAAAUUUGGUAGGGGAAGCUUCAAAGAUUAAUAAGAAGUCAAUGGAGCCAGCAUUGCUGAGAUAAAUUGUCGCCCUAGACAAAACAUGGCUUAUAGGG